Molecule: ribosomal RNA, 799 nt
Filed under: uncultured bacterium
Lineage: Bacteria
Description: SSU rRNA
Rfam family: Bacterial small subunit ribosomal RNA
Source: RNAcentral
UAAAGAUAGCUUGCUAUUUUUAUGAAGAGCGGCGAACGGGUGAGUAACGCGUGGGAAAUCUGCCGAGUAGCGGGGGACAACGUUUGGAAACGAACGCUAAUACCGCAUAACAAUGAGAAUCGCAUGAUUCUUAUUUAAAAGAAGCAAUUGCUUCACUACUUGAUGAUCCCGCGUUGUAUUAGCUAGUUGGUAGUGUAAAGGACUACCAAGGCGAUGAUACAUAGCCGACCUGAGAGGGUGAUCGGCCACACUGGAACUGAGACACGGCCCAGACUCCUACGGGAGGCAGCAGUAGGGAAUCUUCGGCAAUGGGGGCAACCCUGACCGAGCAACGCCGCGUGAGUGAAGAAGGUUUUCGAAUCGUAAAACUCUGUUGUUAGAGAAGAACGUUAAGUAGAGUGGAAAAUUACUUAAGUGACGGUAUCUAACCAGAAAGGGACGGCUAACUACGUGCCAGCAGCCGCGGUAAUACGUAGGUCCCAAGCGUUGUCCGGAUUUAUUGGGCGUAAAGCGAGCGCAGGUGGUUUCUUAAGUCUGAUGUAAAAGGCAGUGGCUCAACCAUUGUGUGCAUUGGAAACUGGGAGACUUGAGUGCAGGAGAGGAGAGUGGAAUUCCAUGUGUAGCGGUGAAAUGCGUAGAUAUAUGGAGGAACACCGGAGGCGAAAGCGGCUCUCUGGUCUGUAACUGACGCUGAGGCUCGAAAGCGUGGGGAGCAAACAGGAUUAGAUACCCUGGUAGUCCACGCCGUAAACGAUGAGUGCUAGGUGUUAGGCCCUUUCCGGGGCUUAGUGCCGCAGCC